UCCGGUUUGACACCGGCAGUCCCCCCAGAGUCCCCGACAUGACUCGCUGGCAACUGAGGGUAAGGGUUUCGCUCGUUAUGGGACUUAACCCGACAUCUCACGACACGAGCUGACGACAGCCAUGCAGCACCUGUGUUAGGCUCCCAUUGCUGGUUCGUCACCGUUUCCGGCUUCUACUACCUAACUCUUUCGAACAUGUCAAGUCCAGGAUAAGGUUCUUCGCGUAGCCUCGAAUUAAGCCACAUGCUCCACCGCUUGUGUGAGCCCCCGUCAAUUUCUUUGAGUUUCAGCCUUGCGGCCAUACUCCCCAGGCGGAGAACUUAGCACUUUUGCUUCGGCAGUCAGUCUAUGUCGGACCGACUACCUAGUUCUCAUCGUUUAGGGCCAGGACUAC
Molecule: unclassified non-coding RNA, 394 nt
Filed under: uncultured Planctomycetia bacterium
Lineage: Bacteria; Pseudomonadati; Planctomycetota; Planctomycetia
Description: contains 16S-23S intergenic spacer region
Source: RNAcentral